CGUGUAGGCGGUUUAGCAAGUCAGAUGUGAAAGCCCUGGGCUUAACCCGGGAAGUGCAUUUGAAACUGCUUCACUAGAGUAUGGGAGAGGAGAUUGGAAUUCCUGGUGUAGAGGUGAAAUUCGUAGAUAUCAGGAGGAACACCCGUGGCGAAGGCGAUUCUCUGGACCAAUACUGACGCUGAGACGCGAAAGCGUGGGGAGCAAACAGGAUUAGAUACCCUGGUAGUCC
Molecule: ribosomal RNA, 229 nt
Filed under: uncultured bacterium
Lineage: Bacteria
Description: partial 16S ribosomal RNA
Rfam family: Bacterial small subunit ribosomal RNA
Source: RNAcentral